RNAcentral lists this ribosomal RNA (466 nucleotides) under uncultured bacterium. RNAcentral describes it as "partial 16S ribosomal RNA". It matches the Rfam family "Bacterial small subunit ribosomal RNA", at positions 28 to 507 of the family's 1533-position model. The record is from RNAcentral.
GAUGAACGCUGGCGGCGUGCUUAACACAUGCAAGUCGAACGAUGAAGCCCAGCUUGCUGGGUGGAUUAGUGGCGAACGGGUGAGUAACACGUGAGUAACCUGCCCUUAACUCUGGGAUAAGCCUGGGAAACUGGGUCUAAUACCGGAUAGGAGCGUCCACCGCAUGGUGGGUGUUGGAAAGAUUUAUCGGUUUUGGAUGGACUCGCGGCCUAUCAGCUUGUUGGUAGGUUAAGGGCUAACCAAGGCGGUGACGGGUAGCCGGCCUGUGAGGGUGACCGGCCACACUGGGACUGAGAGACGGCCCAGAAUCCUACGGGAGGCAGCAGUGGGGAAUAUUGCACAAUGGGCGCAAGCCUGAUGCAGCGACGCCGCGUGAGGGAUGACGGCCUUCGGGUUGUAAACCUCUUUCAGUAGGGAAGAAGCGAAAGUGACGGUACCUGCAGAAGAAGCACCGGCUAACUACGUG